RNAcentral lists this ribosomal RNA (838 nucleotides) under uncultured Actinomycetes bacterium. RNAcentral describes it as "bacterial SSU rRNA". It matches the Rfam family "Bacterial small subunit ribosomal RNA", at positions 54 to 873 of the family's 1533-position model. The record is from RNAcentral. Lineage: Bacteria; Bacillati; Actinomycetota; Actinomycetes.
CAUGACAGUCGUACGGUGAUCUUGGGAGCUUGCUCCUGGGUGAGCAGUGGCGAACGGGUGAGUAACACGUGAGUAACCUGCCCCUGACUCUGGAAUAAACGCUGGAAACGGCGUCUAAUACCGGAUACGAGACGCAACCGCAUGGUUAGUGUCUGGAAAGUUUUUCGGUCUGGGAUGGACUCGCGGCCUAUCAGCUUGUUGGUGAGGUAACGGCUCACCAAGGCAAUGACGGGUAGCCGGCCUGAGAGGGCGAUCGGCCACACUGGGACUGAGACACGGUCCACACUCCUACGGGAGGCAGCAGUGGGCGAAUAUUGCACAAUGGGCGAAAGCCUGAUGCAGCGACGCCGCGUGAGGGAUGACAGCCUUCGGGUUGUAAACCCCUUUCAGCAGGGAAGAAGCGAAGUGACGGUCCUGCAAAGAACACCGGCUAACUACGUGCCGCAGCCGCGGAAUACGUAGGGUGCGAGCGUUGCCGGAUUAUUGGGUGUAAAGACUUGUAGCGGAUUGCGCGUCUGCUGUGAAGUCCGGGCUCACCCCGGAUUCUGUGCGUACGGUCGACUAGGUGUGUAUGGGAACUGGAUUCUGGUGUAGUGUGAAUGCGCUAUUCAGGAGAACCCGAUGCUAUGCGGUUCUGGCCAUUCUGAUCUGAGAGCUAAGCAUGGGAGCGAAAGGAUAGAUAUCUGGUAGUCCUGCCUAAACGUGGGACUACGUGGGGUUCAUUCCCAAGUCUUGCACACUAACCAUAAUUCCCGCUGGGAGUCGGCGCAGGUAUAUCAAUGAUUGACGGAAGCCAAUCAUUAACUGACGCUAUCCUUAUGAGGUGAUCUACUCGUUA